This is a long non-coding RNA of Oncorhynchus tshawytscha (Chinook salmon), 1929 nucleotides long. Lineage: Eukaryota; Metazoa; Chordata; Actinopteri; Salmoniformes; Salmonidae. The record is from Ensembl.
UAUAUAUAUAUAUAUAUAGUGGCAGUAGUAGUGGCUAGUACUGAUGGAGAGAUGAGACCUGGGUUCUAUCAGGUGGUCUAUAUAUAAAUAUAGUGGCAGUAGUAGUGGCUAGUAGUGAUAGGGAGAUGAGACCUGGGUUCUAUCAGGUGGCCUAUAUAUAUAUAUAUAUAUAGUGGCAGUAGUAGUGGCUAGUAGUGAUGGAGAGAUGAGACCUGGGUUCUAUCAGGUGGCCUAUAUAUAUAUAUAUAUAGUGGCAGUAGUAGUGGCUAGUAGUGAUAGAGAGAUGAGACCUGGGUUCUAUCAGGUGGCCCAUAUAUAUAUAUAUAGUGGCUAGUAGUGAUAGAGAGAUGAGACCUGGGUUCUAUCAGGUAGUCUAUAUAUAUAUAUAUAGUGGCAGUAGUAGUGGCUAGUAGUGAUAGGGAGAUGAGACCUGGGUUCUAUCAGGUGGCCCAUAUAUAUAUAUAGUGGCUAGUAGUGAUAGAGAGAUGAGACCUGGGUUCUAUCAGGUGGUCUAUAUAUAUAUAUAUAGUGGCAGUAGUAGUGGCUAGUAGUGAUAGGGAGAUGAGACCUGGGUUCUAUCAGGUGGCCCAUAUAUAUAUAUAUAUAUAUAUAUAUAUUUAUAUAUAUAUAGUGGCAGUAGUAGAUGGGGGGAGGGGGGUGUAUAUGGAAGUACGUUGGCCUACAGGACACUGUGUGUGUAUUAGAGCUCCCAGGCAGGAUUGUAGUGAGGCACAGAUCUGGGAAAGGGUACCAAAAUAAUUAUGCAGCAUUGAAGGUCCCCAAGAACACAGUGGCCUCCAUCAUUCUGAAACGGAAGUCGUUUGGAACCUCCAAGACUCUUCCUGAAGCUGGCCGCCCUGUGAAACUGAGCAAUUAGUGGAGAAGGGCCUUGGCCAGGGAGGUGACCAAGAACCCAAUGGGAGAUUGGAGAACCUUCCAGAAGGACAACCAUCUCUGCAGCACUCCACCAAUCAGGCCUUUAUGGUAGAGUGGCCAGAUGGAUGCCAGUCCUCCGUAAAAGACACAUGACAGUCCGCUUGGAGUUUUCCAAAAGGCACCUAAAGGACUCUCAGACCAUGAGAAACAAGAUUCUCUGGUCUUUUGAAACCAAGAUUUAACUGGUUUGCUAAGCAAACUGAAUGCUAAGCAUCACAUCUGAAGGUAACCUGGCAUCAUCCCUACGAUGAAGUAUGGUGGUGGCAGCAUCAUGCUGUGAGGAUGUUUUUCAGCAGCAGGGACUGGGAGACUAAUCUGGAUUAAGGGUAAGAUGAACAGAGCAAAGUACAGAGAUCCUUGAUGAAAACCUGCUCCAGAGCGCUCAGGACUUCAGACUUGUGAUUAAGGUUGACCUUCCAAAAGGACAACGACCCUAAGCACACAGCCAAGACAACGCAGGAGUGGCUUCUGGACAAGUCUUUGAAUGCCUUUGAGUGGCCAAUCCACAGCCCAGACUUGAACCUGAUCAAACAUCUCUGGAGAACUGAAAAUAGCUGUGCAGCGACGCUCCCCAUCCAACCUGACAGAGCUUGAGAGGAUCUGCAGAGAAGAAUGGGAGAACCUCCCCAAAUACAGGUGUGCCAAGCUUGUAGCGUCAAACCCAAUAAGAAUCAAGGCUGUAAUCGCUGCCAAAAGGUGCUUCAACAAAGUACUGAGUAAAGGGUCUGAAUACUUAUGUAAAUGUGAUAUUUAAGUUUAAAUAUACAAUUGCACACAUAAAAUAAACUGUUUUUGAGUGAGCAGAGAGAGUGAGCAGAGAGAGAGAGAGAAGAGAGCAGAGAGAGGCUGAGUGUGUGUCUAGAAUCUCCCUCUCUGAUGAUGACAUCACAGGGUUCCUCUCCUAGAAGACCUAGAAUCUCUGAAUCAGGGCUGUGUUUCAUUCUUAUCAAAAGUCCCGUUAACUCUCUCUCAAAAACACAAAUGUAUAAUUGC